RNAcentral lists this long non-coding RNA (1236 nucleotides) under Gossypium barbadense (sea-island cotton). Its description in RNAcentral is "long non-coding RNA (GBAR_LNC011059)". Lineage: Eukaryota; Viridiplantae; Streptophyta; Magnoliopsida; Malvales; Malvaceae. The record is from RNAcentral.
GGUAAAAAUACUAGGACGCUGGUCCUCACUUACUUUUAUUUUCUUUGCCAAAGUUAAUAUAAGAGGUAAAAACAACAUCAAAGCUUUAACACUGCAGGUAAAAGAAGAGCAAACUGAAGUACCAAACUAUACCAUUUACUUUAAACAUCAAAGCUGUAACACUGCAGCAACCAGUAAACAAUAGGUUUAAACAUAAGCUCAACUGUAGCAACAGAAACCCAAUGCCACUGUCAAAGCUUGAAAAAGCUUCUUGUUCAAUAUUCCUGUGCACCUGAUUUGGGCAUUAAUAGUUAAUACUAACUUCCAUCAAGGUUUCACAACGCCUAAGCUGUUCCACUUGGAUGUCAGAAAAAAGGGAACUAUUACAUGGAAUAAAAAACAAUUCAUUUAACCCAUAAGCAAUAAGUUUUUUCACUGUUCCAAAAGCAAAUAAUGAGAGUAUGAGAGAGAGAUAACAUACUAUUUAUGGCUAGUGUGUAAUUACUAUUUUUGCAUGAGGUGGUGAUACUUACCCAGUAGAUAAUAGUAACCAUUGUAGAUUUUGAACUUCAUUCGUCCACUGCUGCAUUAAGCAGAGCAAUGCUUUGUCCACUCCAAAUAGUCCCAACAGUGGGGGCUUUCCCUGUUAUUUAGCCAGAUAAUAGGCUGAAAUAAACAACCACUGAGUGCAAAUGAUAGACAAAUGAGUAAAGCACAGUACCACCUUAAGGUUACAACACAAACAAAAAAAAUAUAACUAUGAGGUAUGGUGUGUUGUUGCUCACCUCAUCCCUUAAUCAUUUGGUUGGUGGUUCGAUUCCUGCUAAUGAGAAUAGAGGUCAUUUCAUGUCCAUCUGUUUACCUCUUUGGAGAGCACCCAUGGCGAGGGAAUUAAUCACUAUUACCGACAGUAAAUACCUUAGCUACAACCAAAAAGACAGAUAAAAUAUUCAGAUAUAGAAUUCAAUACCUUAAGGUACCCAAGACAAUGGUAGUUCUUUUCCCGUUUCAUAAAACCAUUUCUCAUUCUCUAGAUUCAAGCUUUAAAAUGUUCAGCUUCCAACGAACAAUCUAUAAUUUAAUAAAAACAAAAAAGAGCAAAUAGAUUGAAAGCAAAUUACAGCAAUAGAAGGAAAGAUGCCAAAUUGAAAGUAUCAUAAAUGGUUAUAUGUUAAAUGCCAAGUACAUACAUGCUAAGAUUCACACUUACUGAUGUAAAAGAAAAAAAUUCCGUUCAACAAUUUAACUGUUUCCUGC